RNAcentral lists this long non-coding RNA (293 nucleotides) under Homo sapiens (human). RNAcentral's name for it is "HSALNT0176209". The record is from RNAcentral. Lineage: Eukaryota; Metazoa; Chordata; Mammalia; Primates; Hominidae.
UUCAUCUUAGGCAUCUUCAGCUUGGGGCCCUUCAGCUUCCCUUCUGGACCUUCAAGGCUCACAUCUGGGACUUCAACAUCCACCUUGGGUCCUGAGACAACAACAUCAGCCUUGGGCAAGUUCACAUCCACUUCUGGGCCCUCUGCUUUGAAGCCAGGCAUGCUGAACUUGGGCAUUUUCAUCUUGGGCAUCUUCAGGUGCCAGUCUGGGCCUUGAACCUCCACAUCUGGGACAUCAAUGUCCAUUUUGGCACUUUUAAGUUCAACAUCAGGAACUUUAAUCUCACUUUCAAC